GGUUAAGCGACUAAGCGUACACGGUGGAUGCCCUGGCAGUCAGAGGCGAUGAAGGGCGUGCUAAUCUGCGAUAAGCGCCGGUAAGGUGAUAUGAACCGUUAUAACCGGCGAUACCCGAAUGGGGAAACCCAGUGUGAUUCGUCACACUAUCAUUAACUGAAUCCAUAGGUUAAUGAGGCGAACCGGGGGAACUGAAACAUCUAAGUACCCCGAGGAAAAGAAAUCAACCGAGAUUCCCCCAGUAGCGGCGAGCGAACGGGGAGGAGCCCAGAGCCUGAAUCAGCAUGUGUGUUAGUGGAAGCGUCUGGAAAGGUGCGCGAUACAGGGUGACAGCCCCGUACACAAAAGCGCAUGUGCUGUGAGCUCGAUGAGUAGGGCGGGACACGUGGUAUCCUGUCUGAAUAUGGGGGGACCAUCCUCCAAGGCUAAAUACUCCUGACUGACCGAUAGUGAACCAGUACCGUGAGGGAAAGGCGAAAAGAACCCCGGCGAGGGGAGUGAAAAAGAACCUGAAACCGUGUACGUACAAGCAGUGGGAGCACAGGUUUACCUGUGUGACUGCGUACCUUUUGUAUAAUGGGUCAGCGACUUAU
This 593-nucleotide ribosomal RNA is filed under the name Salmonella enterica subsp. enterica serovar Typhimurium. RNAcentral's name for it is "partial 23S ribosomal RNA". It matches the Rfam family "Bacterial large subunit ribosomal RNA", at positions 1 to 631 of the family's 2925-position model. Lineage: Bacteria; Pseudomonadati; Pseudomonadota; Gammaproteobacteria; Enterobacterales; Enterobacteriaceae. The record is from RNAcentral.